RNAcentral lists this long non-coding RNA (1494 nucleotides) under Equus caballus (horse). RNAcentral's name for it is "lncRNA (ENSECAG00000048405.1)". Lineage: Eukaryota; Metazoa; Chordata; Mammalia; Perissodactyla; Equidae. The record is from RNAcentral.
CCGGCCCUGUGGCUGAGUGGUUGGGUUCAUGAGCUCUGCUUCAGCAGCCCAGGGUUUUGCCAGUACCGAUCCUGGGCGCGGACAUGGCACCACUCAAGCCAUGCUGAGGCGGCGUCCCACAUGGACCCACAACUAAAAAUAUACAGUAUCGACUCACUUAAAUCUGAUCACCACCACAGAGAGAAAGUAGACGAUGCAGCUGGGAUUAGGAUCAGGCUGUCCGGUACCAGAGCAUUUCUGCUUGACUACUACUUUGCUUCAUGACACUCCAUCUGGCGGAAGGAAGAUGUACAUAUGCAAACCAGGAAGAGAAUUCUCACCAGAACUCGACCUUGCUGGCAUCCUGAUCUCGGACUCUCCAGCCUCCAGAACUCUUAAUGAAGAUUUUAGUCUUAUUGUGAGCAGCAUCAUUCAUGAUGGAAAAAAGUCUGCUUAGGUAGAACAACAAAAUCUCUCUCAAAAUAUUAGAAAAUAAAGGCAAACAAAUUGUUCAGAUCAUUUUCCCUGUUUUUUAAUCAACCAAAAGCCAUCUAAAACCCUGCCUGGGAUUCUGGGUUUCUGAAUAAAAGUACCAGUCCCUACUAUCAUCUACUACAUAAUGGCCACAUAUUCCACAAGUGUGUUGCUUCACAAAGCAGGAGGAUAGGAAAUUUUGGCUGCAAUCCCCACUCUGACUUAAAUCACCAAGUGACCUUAGGCAAGUCAUGGUAGCCUUCCUGAGCUCUUCUCUUCAUCCAUCAAAUUGGCAUCAUGAUACUGACAUAUCCUACACAGGGCUUUCAAAGUUUACAUAAGUAUGGGCAAGAGUUUUGAAAUAUUAUUAUCUCUGAUUGAAGUAUCCUGGAGAUGGCAAAGGUUCUACCUGAGUGUGUGUACACCUCACAAGUAAUCAAGUGAGUCCAAAAGGAAAAUGUGAAAGGAAGGGAGGGAGAGAAAGUGGAACCUGGAGGCUAUUCAGACCUUUCCUCUGUGACCAAGAUAACUUUUCAUACUUCAUCUCAUUUCCUCCUCUAUUCUACAUUCUUCAGCUUUAUGUGACUCAGGACAGGGUAUUAUUUAUAAUUACUAUACAAGCAAGGGCUUACUAUACAAGCAUGCACUUACUAUACAAGCAAGGGCUCUAGGAUUUAACUGUUGCAUCACACAAGACUUUUCAACCUCUUUUUACUUUCAAUGCAACCUACAUCACUUUAACCCAAAGGGAAGUUCUUUACAUUUAAGUGGAAACUGAAUUCAAAUACCCUUAUCAUUAUUUUAAAAGCAUUAUGUUGCAACAGAUCUUACAACUAUUCCCCAAUCCAGGUAUGUUUGAAACUGAAAUUAUAUUUUCCUGGGUUUUCUUAAUCUGCAUUCUAGAUUAAUUAAUAUUCUGAGCCUUCUUCCCAACUGUCCUUCACUUACACUUGCAACAGACCUGAGACAUAUAAAGAAAAACUGAGGCACCAUUCAUUUACAAGGUUUCUCCCUGGAGACAAAGAAGAUCACUAACCUUUG